GGACCUUAAUGUAGUGUCAAACAAUUUAAGGAUUCACUGCACCAUUGGAGCCGCUAGAGAGUGCUGUAAAGGUAGGUUUGAGUGAUAUUUUAAUAUUUUUUAUAUAAUAAAAUUUGAUUUUGAUUGUAUUUAUUAGGUUUAUAGAUAGCUAUCAUACUAAUGAUUUAUUCAUUAUUGUUUCUGACUAUUCUCCGUAGGU
This 199-nucleotide long non-coding RNA is filed under the name Elaeis guineensis (African oil palm). RNAcentral describes it as "long non-coding RNA (EGUI_LNC066559)". The record is from RNAcentral. Lineage: Eukaryota; Viridiplantae; Streptophyta; Magnoliopsida; Arecales; Arecaceae.